Molecule: long non-coding RNA, 422 nt
Organism: Nomascus leucogenys (northern white-cheeked gibbon)
Lineage: Eukaryota; Metazoa; Chordata; Mammalia; Primates; Hylobatidae
Exons: 3
Source: RefSeq, a predicted model, not a curated record
CUGGUUCUAAGAAAUGUGGGACCUUCAGAAAUAAGGGAGGGCGUGUGCACCUCCACACCCAGGGAAACCCUUGAAAGUUAACCGUGGUUGGUUUUGCAAAAAUGCUUUUUAAAACUAACUCUCCCCUGCCAUUGCUCUCUGCAUAGGCGAGUGUCUCCCUCAAACGCCUGAGGAUCUUUUCUCCCAUGAGGAGCUGGAACCUGACAGCAUCGAGCGACGGCCUGUCAAAGACAGCGGGGGCACGAACAGCAUCACCGUGAGGAAUGCCACAUUCACCUGGGCCAGGGGCGACCCUCCCACGCUGAAUGGACGCGGAUCUUGGUCAUGCACAGCAUGAGCUACUUGCCACAGGUGGAUGUCAUCAUUGUCAUGAGUGGCGGCAAGAUCUCUGAGAUGGGCUCCUACCAGGAGCUGCUGGCCCA